GAUGAACGCUGGCGGCGUGCCUAAUACAUGCAAGUCGAACGAAACUUCUUUAUCACCGAGUGCUUGCACUCACCGAUAAAGAGUUGAGUGGCGAACGGGUGAGUAACACGUGGGCAACCUGCCCAAAAGAGGGGGAUAACACUUGGAAACAGGUGCUAAUACCGCAUAACCAUAGUUACCGCAUGGUAACUAUGUAAAAGGUGGCUAUACUACCGCUUUUGGAUGGGCCCGCGGCGCAUUAGCUAGUUGGUAGGGUAAAGGCUUACCAAGGCAAUGAUGCGUAGCCGAAUUGAGAGGUUGAUCGGCCACAUUGGGACUGAGACACGGCCCAAACUCCUACGGGAGGCGGCAGUAGGGAAUCUUCCACAACGGGCGAAAGCCUGAUGGAGCAACGCCGCGUGGGUGAAGAAGGUCUUCGGAUCGUAAAACCCUGUUGUUAGAGAAGAAAGUGCGUGAGAGUAACUGUUCACGUUUCGACGGUAUCUAACCAGAAAGCCACGGCUAACUACGUG
This 512-nucleotide ribosomal RNA is filed under the name uncultured bacterium. Its description in RNAcentral is "partial 16S ribosomal RNA". It matches the Rfam family "Bacterial small subunit ribosomal RNA", at positions 28 to 507 of the family's 1533-position model. The record is from RNAcentral.